CAAGAAGUAGUUUAACUAGAACGUCAGCUUUGGGUGUUGAUGGUGGGGAGAGUGUUCCUUCUUCUUGA
RNAcentral lists this transfer RNA (68 nucleotides) under Colomys lumumbai. RNAcentral's name for it is "Colomys sp. l TG-2021 tRNA-Pro". Lineage: Eukaryota; Metazoa; Chordata; Mammalia; Rodentia; Muridae. The record is from RNAcentral.